CUCACAUGCCCGCAUGAUCUGUUAGGACCCUAUUUCAGGGGUUGGGGCCCAAGCAGUCCCGAGGGCAGAGCGAGGGCUGAGGGCAGGGCGAGGGCUGAGUGCGGGGGUGAGGGCUGAGGGCAGUGGCUGGUGGUUUCUGGCCUGGCUGCCUCUCCUGUUCCCGCCAGGAGGAAGACGAGGUCUGCAUGGCCCCGCGCGGCUCUCAGAGCUCAGAAGAGGGCAGCUUCUCGCAGGUGUCCACCAUGGCCCUACACAUCGUCCAGGCUGACGCUGAGGACAGCCCACCAAGCCUGCAGCGCCACAGCCUGGCCGCCAGGUAUUACAACUGGGUGUCCUUUCCCGGGUGCCUGGCCAGAGGGGCUCAGACCCGUGGUUCCUCCAGGAUGAAGACAUUUGAGGAAUUCCCCAUGACCCCAACAACCUACAAAGCCUCUGUGGACAACCAGACAGACAGUGGGAUGGUGCUGGCCUCGGAGGAGUUUGAGCAGAUAGAGAGCAGGCAUAGACAAGAAAGCGGCUUCAGCUGUAAAGGACCUGGCCAGAAUGUGGAUGUGACCAGGGCACACCCUGACUCCCAAGGGAGGCGGCGGCGGCCUGACCGGGGGGCCCGAGGAGGCCAGGUGUUUUACAACAGCGAGUAUGGGGAGCUGUCGGAGCCAAGCAAGGAGGACCACUGCUCCCCAUCUGCCCGCGUGACUUUCUUCACAGACAACAGCUACUAAGCAGCAUCGGACAAGACCCCCAGCACUUGGGGGUUCAGGCCCGGCAGGGCGGGCAGAGGGCUGGAGGCCCAGGUUGGGAACUCAUCUGGUUUAACUCUGGUGG
Molecule: small RNA, 825 nt
Filed under: Pongo abelii (Sumatran orangutan)
Lineage: Eukaryota; Metazoa; Chordata; Mammalia; Primates; Hominidae
Description: retained intron
Source: RNAcentral